GACUCUAGGCAACGGAUAUCUCGACUUUCGCAUUGAUGAAGAACAUUGCGAAAUGUGAUACUUGGUGUGAAUUGCAGAAUCCCGUGAACCAUCGAGUCUUUGAAUGCAAGGUGUGCCGGAAGACAUUUGGAUGAGAGCACGUCUACCUAGGCAUCA
This 156-nucleotide ribosomal RNA is filed under the name Solanum lycopersicum (tomato). RNAcentral describes it as "5.8S ribosomal RNA". It matches the Rfam family "5.8S ribosomal RNA". From Rfam's summary of the family: 5.8S ribosomal RNA (5.8S rRNA) is a component of the large subunit of the eukaryotic ribosome. It is transcribed by RNA polymerase I as part of the 45S precursor that also contains 18S and 28S rRNA. Lineage: Eukaryota; Viridiplantae; Streptophyta; Magnoliopsida; Solanales; Solanaceae. The record is from Rfam by way of RNAcentral.